UGACGGUACCAUAGGAAUAAGCACCGGCUAACUCCGUGCCAGCAGCCGCGGUAAUACGGAGGGUGCAAGCGUUAUCCGGAUUCACUGGGUUUAAAGGGUGCGUAGGAGGGCAGGUAAGUCAGUGGUGAAAUCUCCGAGCUUAACUGGGAAACUGCCGUUGAUACUAUCUGUCUUGAAUACCGUGGAGGUGAGCGGAAUAUGUCAUGUAGCGGUGAAAUGCUUAGAUAUGACAUAGAACACCAAUUGCGAAGGCAGCUCGCUACACGAAUAUUGACUCUGAGGCACGAAAGCGUGGGGAUCAAACAGGAUUAGAUACCCUGGUAGUCCACGCCCUAAACGAUGGAUACUCGACAUACGCGAUACACUGUGUGUGUCUGACCGAAAGCAUUAAGUAUCCCACCUGGGAAGUACGACCGCAAGGUUGAAACUCAAA
This 433-nucleotide ribosomal RNA is filed under the name uncultured Flavisolibacter sp. RNAcentral's name for it is "bacterial SSU rRNA". It matches the Rfam family "Bacterial small subunit ribosomal RNA", at positions 470 to 905 of the family's 1533-position model. The record is from RNAcentral. Lineage: Bacteria; Pseudomonadati; Bacteroidota; Chitinophagia; Chitinophagales; Chitinophagaceae.